This 847-nucleotide ribosomal RNA is filed under the name Paragavialidium sichuanense. RNAcentral describes it as "partial 16S ribosomal RNA". The stretch from base 414 to 780 matches the Rfam family "Bacterial large subunit ribosomal RNA", at positions 2073 to 2647 of the family's 2925-position model. Lineage: Eukaryota; Metazoa; Arthropoda; Insecta; Orthoptera; Tetrigidae. The record is from RNAcentral.
UAGGCUUGAUAAUAGUCAUUAUUUAAAGUAUGUUUUAAUUUAUUUUUAUUUGUUUUUGAUUUAUUAAUUAUUUAAGUUUUCUAUUGGAAUUUUAGCUUUAAUUUUUAUUGUUUAUUAAAAAUGGUUUAAUUAGUAUAUUUUUAUGUUUAUUAUAUUUGUAUUCAAAUUUUGAUUGAAGGAAUUUGGCAAAUUUUUAGUAUUUCCGACUGUUUAUCAAAGACAUUUUCUGAAGUUUUUAUUUUAGAUAUGACCUGCUCACUGAGGAGUUAAAGAGCCGCAGUAUUUUGACUGUGCAAAGGUAGCAUAAUCAUUAGUGUAUUAAUUGUACACUGGAAUGAAAGGUUUAACGAGAAAAACUCUGUCUCUUAUUAAUAUUUAGAAUUUUAUUUUUUAGUAAAAAAGCUAAAAUGUUUUUUUUGGACGAUAAGACCCUAUAGAGUUUUAUUUAAUGAUGUUCAUGUGAUUUGGGAUUAUCUUAUUUAUUUUUGUAUCUUAAGUUUGGUUGGGGUGAUCUGAGUGAUAAUAAAACCACUUAUUUAUAUUUUUCAUUGAUUUUUGUUUUUGUUGAUCUUGUAUUAUUGAUUAAAAGAUUUAAUUACCUUAGGGAUAACAGCGCAAUUAUCUUUAAGAGUUCUUAUUGACAGGGUAGAUUGCGACCUCGAUGUUGGAUUAAGAUUAUUUUUAGGUGCAGAUGCUUAAUAAAAUUGGUCUGUUCGACCAUUAAUGUCUUACAUGAUCUGAGUUCAGACCGGCGUGAGCCAGGUUGGUUUCUAUCCAAAAUUUUUUUUUAUUUUCUAGUACGAAAGGACCGUGAAUUUUGAUUAUUUUAUUAAAAUUGAUUUUGAUU